CCAGAAGUCUGUUGGGUAACAGGUUGGAAGUUCCAGGCCGUGGGCUUGAUACUGGUGGAGAACAGUGAGAACUCAGGGACUGAAUUCAUGUCAGUUGUGUGAUUGCUGACACCACCAGAUGCAGCCUUGUCCGUGUUUCUGUGUGGCUGACGUUCUCUGCUCUGUCCAGCCUUCCAGCGUAUCAGCAUUCCAGCAUUCCAGCGUCCCAGCAUCCCAGUGUUCCAGGGUUCCAGCAUCCCAGUGUUCCAGGGUUCCAGUGUUCCAGCGUCCCAGCGUCCCAGUUUUCCAGCGUUCCAGGGUUUCAGGGUUCCAGCGUUCCAGGGUUUCAGGGUUCCAGGGUUCCAGGGUUCCAGCGUUCCAGGGUUUCAGGGUUCCAGCGUCCCAGUGUCCCAGUGUUCCAGGGUUCCAGGGUUCCAGCAUUCCAGGGUUCCAGCGUUCCAGUGUCCCAGCGUCCCAGUGUUCCAGGGUUCCAGGGUUCCAGCGUUCCAGGGUUCCAGCGUUCCAGCGUCCCAGCGUCCCAGUGUUCCAGGGUUCCAGGGUUCCAGCGUUCCAGGGUUCCAGGGUUCCAGGGUUCCAGCGUUCCAGUGUUCCAGGGUUCCAGGGUUCCAGCGUUCCAGGGUUCCAGCGUUCCAGCGUCCCAGCGUCCCAGUGUUCCAGGGUUCCAGCGUUCCAGGGUUUCAGGGUUCCAGGGUUCCAGCGUUCCAGGGUUUCAGGGUUCCAGCGUCCCAGCGUCCCAGGGUUCCAGGGUUCCCGCAUUCCAGCGUUACAGCGUUCUAUCAUUGCAGCGUUACAGUGUUACAAAGUUCCUGCGUUCCACGAUUCCUGCAUUACAGUGUUCCAGCGUUCUAUUAUUACAGCGUUACGGUGUUCUAUCAUUACAGCGUUACAGCAUUCCAGCGUUCCAGUAGCCUGCUUCUGUUCCCUCAGUGAACAUGAUGACUCCUCUCAGUCCUUGAACCCUCGUGUGUUUGAAACCUAUAGACGAGGUCGUGUGAGGGUCCAGCAGUCAACGCGUGGAUCCACACGUCCUCUGUUCUCACCAGGUUUUUCACCUCCUCAUCCUCCUCAUGAACACAAUUCACACAACAAGAAGCUUUUAAACCAGUUCUCAAACAUCCAAGAUGAAAAGACAAAAAUGCAGCUUCACUC
RNAcentral lists this long non-coding RNA (1149 nucleotides) under Betta splendens (Siamese fighting fish). RNAcentral's name for it is "lncRNA (ENSBSLG00000022005.1)". The record is from RNAcentral. Lineage: Eukaryota; Metazoa; Chordata; Actinopteri; Anabantiformes; Osphronemidae.